CAGGCCUAACACAUGCAAGUCGAGCGGUAGCGGUAAAGAUUUCGGUCUUUAGCCGACGAGCGGCGGACGGGUGAGUAAAGUCUGGGGAUCUAUCUUGUGGAGGGGGACAACCACUGGAAACGGUAGCUAAUACCGCAUAACGUCUUCGGACCAAAGUGGGGGACCCUCGGGCCUCACACCAUCGGAUGUGCCCAGAUGGGAUUAGCUAGUAGGUGGGGUAAUGGCUCACCUAGGCGACGAUCCCUAGCUGGGAUGAGAGGAUGACCAGCCACACUGGAACUGAGACACGGUCCAGACGCCUACGGGAGGCAGCAGUGGGGAAUAUUGCACAAUGGGCGCAAGCCUGAUGCAGCCAUGCCGCGUGUAUGAAGAAGGCCUUCGGGUUGUAAAGGACUUUCAGCGGGGAGGAAGGCGAUGUGGUUAAUAACCGCAUCGAUUGACGUGACCCGCAGAAGAAGCACCGGCUAACUCCGUGCCAGCAGCCGCG
Molecule: ribosomal RNA, 487 nt
Filed under: uncultured bacterium
Lineage: Bacteria
Description: bacterial SSU rRNA
Rfam family: Bacterial small subunit ribosomal RNA
Source: RNAcentral